UAUUCUGCCCCACGGGGAAGGAUGAGAAGCUUCGACCAAGGUUCGACUCGAGCGAAGCGAGAGAACGUUGCCGCAGGCAACGGCCCGAAGGGCGAGGCGCUUUAGCGCCGAGUAAUCCUUCCCCACCACCA
This 131-nucleotide small RNA is filed under the name Klebsiella pneumoniae. Its description in RNAcentral is "RtT sRNA". It matches the Rfam family "RtT RNA". Rfam says of the family: This family represents a bacterial cis-regulatory element known as RtT RNA. The exact function of RtT is unknown although it is thought that it may be involved in changing the cellular response in relation to amino acid starvation. Lineage: Bacteria; Pseudomonadati; Pseudomonadota; Gammaproteobacteria; Enterobacterales; Enterobacteriaceae. The record is from RNAcentral.